Molecule: ribosomal RNA, 695 nt
Filed under: uncultured bacterium
Lineage: Bacteria
Description: bacterial SSU rRNA
Rfam family: Bacterial small subunit ribosomal RNA
Source: RNAcentral
CUAAUACAUGCAAGUCGAGCGGAUCUUUUAAAGCUUGCUUUUAAAAGAUUAGCGGCGGACGGGUGAGUAACACGUGGGUAACCUACCUAUAAGACUGGGAUAACUCCGGGAAACCGGUGCUAAUACCAGAUAGUUUUCUAGCUCGCAUGAGUUAGAAAGGAAAGAUGGUUUCGGCUAUCACUUAUAGAUGGACCCGCGGCGCAUUAGCUAGUUGGUGAGGUAAUGGCUUACCAAGGCGACGAUGCGUAGCCGACCUGAGAGGGUGAUCGGCCACACUGGGACUGAGACACGGCCCAGACUCCUACGGGAGGCAGCAGUAGGGAAUCUUCCGCAAUGGACGAAAGUCUGACGGAGCAACGCCGCGUGAGCGAAGAAGGUCUUCGGAUCGUAAAGCUCUGUUGUCAGGGAAGAACAAGUACCGUUCGAUAAGGGCGGUACCUUGACGGUACCUGUCGAGAAAGCCACGGCUAACUACGUGCCAGCAGCCGCGGUAAUACGUAGGUGGCAAGCGUUGUCCGGAAUCAUUGGGCGUAAAGCGCGCGCAGGCGGUCCUUUAAGUCUGAUGUGAAAUCUUGCGGCUUAACCGCAAGCGGUCAUUGGAAACUGGAGGACUUGAGUGCAGAAGAGGAAAGCGGAAUUCCAUGUGUAGCGGUGAAAUGCGUAGAGAUCUGGAGGAAUACCGAUGGCGAAGGCAG